UGUUGCGUCAUACUUUGUUCAAGUCUUAUUAGUGUCAUAGACACCGGAUAUAUUUUAUUUCAUAAUGUCUACUGUUAAAUAAAACUGUUUAGUUGGCCUUGUGCAAUAUAUUCGAAAAGUGAUUGUGAUUUGUGAAUAUUUUGGACUCGGUCCUGAGACUUUCGGGAAUAAUAUAAUUUAUUUUAUAUUCACUAUUGUUUAUACAAAUAUAAAAUACUAUUUUUCAAAGUUUUUGCUCUAAUUGGAAGACACAAAGUGAAAGUAAAUCUGAACUACUAUUUCAUGUUUACUUUUAUCAUCGAGACUUUCAUCUGACAAAUUAUGUACAUUGGACCACAAUCAUUACGUCAAGAAUUUUAAAGCAAAACUAGUUUAUUAUAGAACUGCUUUGUGUUCAAUGUACUAUUUUAUCCACUUAAAAUAGUCAUUACAAUUUGAUUGAAAAUAAAAUUGGUGGAACUGCAUUGCACACGAAGACAGCUUUGGUGACGUUUAAUGAUGUUCAUCAUAAUUCAAUACUAAUUUCUGUAUUUUACAGGUGCAGGCAUAUUUGAUCGGACACUGUGAUUAUUACACAACGGUCAACUGGAAUGAUACGAUCAAAAUAUUUGGAAAGCAUUCAAAGUAUGAAUAACUUAGAGAUUUAUCAAACAAUGACAUUUUUAAGACGAUACAAACUUAUU
Ctenocephalides felis (cat flea) is the source of this 683-nucleotide long non-coding RNA. RefSeq lists it as uncharacterized. The transcript has 3 exons. The record is from RefSeq and is a predicted model, not a curated record. NCBI's taxonomy places the organism in Eukaryota, Metazoa, Arthropoda, Insecta, Siphonaptera, Pulicidae.